UUGGGGAUAUAGCUCAGUUGGUAGAGUGCUUGCCUUGCCCUUGCAUGCACAAGGCCCUGGGUUCAAUCCCAGCACCAAA
This 79-nucleotide transfer RNA is filed under the name Marmota monax (woodchuck). RNAcentral describes it as "tRNA.Ala". Lineage: Eukaryota; Metazoa; Chordata; Mammalia; Rodentia; Sciuridae. The record is from RNAcentral.